UGACCCAAACGAUGAAGGGAGCAUCCGUCGACAGUCGGAAAGAAAGCACUGUCAUGGAGUUGCUCUCUUUACCGCUAAGUCA
Molecule: microRNA precursor, 82 nt
Filed under: Biomphalaria glabrata
Lineage: Eukaryota; Metazoa; Mollusca; Gastropoda; Planorbidae
Description: mir-46/mir-47/mir-281 microRNA precursor family
Rfam family: mir-46/mir-47/mir-281 microRNA precursor family
About the family: The hairpin precursors (represented here) are predicted based on base pairing and cross-species conservation -- their extents are not known. In this case the mature sequences are expressed from the 3' arms of the hairpin precursors.
Source: Rfam by way of RNAcentral